Long non-coding RNA from Cyprinodon tularosa, 487 nucleotides. RefSeq lists it as uncharacterized. NCBI's taxonomy places the organism in Eukaryota, Metazoa, Chordata, Actinopteri, Cyprinodontiformes, Cyprinodontidae. The record is from RefSeq and is a predicted model, not a curated record. The transcript has 3 exons.
GUUACAAUCUACUGCCAUGGAAAGGUGCCACAGCCGAGACUCCUUCCCACCACUUCCAAAGACCCUAGAGUGGGCUUGGAUUUGCCUCAUAAGCAUGUUUCAUCUACAGGCUAAGAGGCAGAGCAGAUGCCAAGUUUCAAGCCACAACAUUCUUGCCACUUCAAACUAAACCAGGGAUGAGCGGAAGAUGAAAUGAUUCAUCACAGCAGAGACAGCUUCCGGAGAACAAGAUGAGAUGAGACGAGAGUGGGAGCCGAGUCAUUUUAUAUCUCCCAGAGAAAUACACAAAGCUAAGAUUAAUUGUAGCGGCUGGAAGCCAAUAAUCUGUGAAGACGGACUGGGAGGAAACCUAUUGCUCCACAGGUGUGAUUUUUGAUGCAGUGUUUGUCCAGUGUCUGAGUUUAGAUAAACAUCUCUCAUCCUCUGCUACCUGCUGAACAAACUAGAAGCCAACUAACUUUAAACAGUGGAUUCUAAAAGUAUCCUA